UGGGGAAUAUUGGACAAUGGGGGCAACCCUGAUCCAGCCAUGCCGCGUGAGUGAUGAAGGCCUUAGGGUUGUAAAGCUCUUUCGCCGGUGAAGAUAAUGACGGUAACCGGAGAAGAAGCCCCGGCUAACUUCGUGCCAGCAGCCGCGGUAAUACGAAGGGGGCUAGCGUUGUUCGGAAUUACUGGGCGUAAAGCGCACGUAGGCGGAUUGUUAAGUCGGGGGUGAAAUCCCAGGGCUCAACCCUGGAACUGCCUCCGAUACUGGCAUUCUUGAGUCCGAGAGAGGUGAGUGGAAUUCCGAGUGUAGAGGUGAAAUUCGUAGAUAUUCGGAAGAACACCAGUGGCGAAGGCGGCUCACUGGCUCGGAACUGACGCUGAGGAGCGAAAGCGUGGGGAGCAAACA
This 402-nucleotide ribosomal RNA is filed under the name uncultured prokaryote. RNAcentral's name for it is "bacterial SSU rRNA". It matches the Rfam family "Bacterial small subunit ribosomal RNA", at positions 355 to 774 of the family's 1533-position model. The record is from RNAcentral.